AACGAACGCUGGCGGCAGGCCUAACACAUGCAAGUCGAGCGAGGACUUCGGUUCUAGCGGCGGACGGGUGAGUAACGCGUGGGAAUUUGCCCUUCUCUACCGAAUCGUUCUGGGAAACUGGGAGUAAUACCGCUGAGGCCCUUUUGGGGUAAGAUCUAUCGGGGUAGGAUCGGCCCGGGUUAGAUUGGGUAGUUGGUGGUGUAAUGGCCGAUCAAUCCGACGUUCCAGAGCUGGUGUGGUAAGAGGGUAUGCCAGACUGGAGAUGAGGCACGGCCGAGACUCCUACGGGGGGGAGCAGUGGGGAAUCUUAGACAAUGGGGGCAAACCUAAUCUAGCCGUGCCGCGUGAGUCAUGAAGGCCUUAGGGUUGUAAAGCUCUUUCAGAUGAGAAGAUAAUGACGGUACCAGCAGAAGAAGCCCCGGCUAACUACGUG
Molecule: ribosomal RNA, 433 nt
Filed under: uncultured bacterium
Lineage: Bacteria
Description: partial 16S ribosomal RNA
Rfam family: Bacterial small subunit ribosomal RNA
Source: RNAcentral